RNAcentral lists this ribosomal RNA (274 nucleotides) under uncultured bacterium. RNAcentral describes it as "partial 16S ribosomal RNA". It matches the Rfam family "Bacterial small subunit ribosomal RNA", at positions 523 to 796 of the family's 1533-position model. The record is from RNAcentral.
AUACGGAGGAUGCGAGCGUUAUCCGGAUUUAUUAGGUUUAAAGGGUGUGUAGGCGGUAUUUUAAGUCAGUGGUGAAAUCUCGGAGCUUAACUUCGAAACUGCCAUUGAUACUGGAAUACUUGAGUAUAGUUGAGGUAGGCGGAAUAUGUAAUGUAGCGGUGAAAUGCAUAGAUAUUACAUAGAACACCGAUUGCGAAGGCAGCUUACUAAACUAUUACUGACGCUGAUGCACGAAAGCGUGGGGAGCGAACAGAAUUAGAAACCCUAGUAGUCC